RNAcentral lists this transfer RNA (69 nucleotides) under Demonax pseudonotabilis. Its description in RNAcentral is "tRNA-Gln". Lineage: Eukaryota; Metazoa; Arthropoda; Insecta; Coleoptera; Cerambycidae. The record is from RNAcentral.
UAUAUUUUAGUAUAUGAUGUACAUUAAUUUUUGGAAUUAAGGGAAUUAGUUAGAUUCUAAUAAAUAUAG